This 580-nucleotide long non-coding RNA is filed under the name Cervus hanglu yarkandensis (Yarkand deer). Its description in RNAcentral is "lncRNA (ENSCHYG00000011746.1)". Lineage: Eukaryota; Metazoa; Chordata; Mammalia; Artiodactyla; Cervidae. The record is from RNAcentral.
ACUUCAUUUGGAGGAGGGGUCCUCCAAGGAUUUCCCUUACUUUCUUAUGAGCUUAGUUAUGCGUUUCUACCAAUUGUUUCUUUAUGUUCUUUUGCAUUUCAGAUGACCUGGCUUACAGUAGUACUGAAUCUGGAACUCAUCAGACCUGCUGUUUUUCAUGCCCUGCACAGCAACCCAGGGGACUGACUUGCCCAAGGUCCUCCUGUAAAUGGAAUCGCUAGAAGCAGACCCUGAAUCCCUCACCUCUUCAUGUGAUUCUGUAGCUGAGCCCUCCAGGUCAAACACCUGCAUAUGCUCUUGGCCUUCAUGUCUGCAUUUCCCUGGAGGAGGGAAACAAGCCUGCCUUCUCCCUUCCAGACUCCAAGGUGAGAGGGAACUCAAGCGAGACCCAGAGAGACGGUAUUCUUUCUACUUCUGCUGAGCAUUCUGAGCAUGUUGUUUAAAGGGUCAAGAACUUGAACUUAGACAGAGAAAACGAAUUAAAAUAUGUGAUUAUGUUAGUCUCAAACUCCUAGUUAGCGCCCCCUGCCCAACCUUUCCCCUUUGGUAACCACAAGUUUGUUUUCUAUGUCAAAGGUCA